CCUACGGGAGGCUGCAGUGGGGAAUAUUGCACAAUGGGGGAAACCCUGAUGCAGCGACGCCGCGUGAGCGAUGAAGUAUUUCGGUAUGUAAAGCUCUAUCAGCAGGGAAGAAAAUGACGGUACCUGACUAAGAAGCCCCGGCUAACUACGUGCCAGCAGCCGCGGUAAUCCGUCGGGGGCAAGCGUUAUCCGGAUUUACUGGGUGUAAAGGGAGCGUAGCAGGCGAUGCAAGCCAGAUGUGAAAGCCCGGGGCUCAACCCCGGGACUGCAUUUGGAACUGUAUAGCUGGAGUGUCGGAGAGGCAGGCGGAAGUCCUAGUGUAGCGGUGAAAUGCGUAGAUAUUAGGAGGAACACCAGUGGCGAAGGCGGCCUGCUGGACGAUGACUGACGUUGAGGCUCGAAAGCGUGGGGAGCAAACAGGAUUAGAUACCCUGGUAGUC
Molecule: ribosomal RNA, 440 nt
Filed under: uncultured bacterium
Lineage: Bacteria
Description: partial 16S ribosomal RNA
Rfam family: Bacterial small subunit ribosomal RNA
Source: RNAcentral